This 833-nucleotide ribosomal RNA is filed under the name Venturia inaequalis. RNAcentral's name for it is "eukaryotic LSU rRNA". It matches the Rfam family "Eukaryotic large subunit ribosomal RNA", at positions 84 to 941 of the family's 3401-position model. The record is from RNAcentral. Lineage: Eukaryota; Fungi; Ascomycota; Dothideomycetes; Venturiales; Venturiaceae.
UAACGGCGAGUGAAGCGGCAACAGCUCAAAUUUGAAAUCUGGCGCAAGCCCGAGUUGUAAUUUGCAGAGGAUGUUUCGGGUGAAGCCACGGUCCAAGUCCCUUGGAACAGGACGUCAUAGAGGGUGAGAACCCCGUACCUGGCCGUCGGUGCCCCCCGCUGUGAAACUCCUUCGACGAGUCGAGUUGUUUGGGAAUGCAGCUCUAAAUUGGUGGUAAAUUCCAUCUAAAGCUAAAUACCGGCCAGAGACCGAUAGCGCACAAGUAGAGUGAUCGAAAGAUGAAAAGCACUUUGAAAAGAGAGUUAAAAAGUACGUGAAAUUGUUGAAAGGGAAGCGCUUGCGGCCAGACUUGCCCGCGGUUGCUCAGCCCGCCUUUUGGCGGGUGCACUCUUCCGCGGUCAGGCCAGCAUCGGUUUGGGCGGUCGGAUAAAGGCGCCGGGAACGUGGCCUCCCCUCGGGGAGGUGUUAUAGCCCGGCGCGCAAUGCGGCCAGCCCGGACCGAGGUUCGCGCUUUGCUAGGAUGCUGGCGUAAUGGCCGUAAGCGGCCGUCUUGAAACACGGACCAAGGAGUCUAACAUCUAUGCGAGUGUUUGGGUGUCAAACCCGUGCGCGUAAUGAAAGUGAACGGAGGUGGGAACCGCAAGGUGCACCAUCGACCGAUCCUGAUGUCUUCGGAAGGAUUUGAGUAAGAGCAUAGCUGUUGGGACCCGAAAGAUGGUGAACUAUGCGUGAAUAGGGUGAAGCCAGAGGAAACUCUGGUGGAGGCUCGCAGCGGUUCUGACGUGCAAAUCGAUCGUCAAAUUUGCGUAUAGGGGCGAAAGACUAAUCGAACC